This 84-nucleotide non-coding RNA is filed under the name Pseudomonas sp. StFLB209. The record is from RNAcentral. Lineage: Bacteria; Pseudomonadati; Pseudomonadota; Gammaproteobacteria; Pseudomonadales; Pseudomonadaceae.
UUCUAUGGCGGCUGUGCCAGGGCAUCUUCGGAUGCACCGGUUUUAGCUCACCGGACGACUAACCUGCGUACAGCCGCCACCCUA